AGACUCAAAAUCUACCAGAGGUACCAUUGAGAAAGAGGAAAUGAAAGGAAUAAAUUUUGUGUUCAGAAAGCAAGUAUCACAAACAACAAAGAAGUGAAUAUCCAUCACAACAGAACAUCAGGAUCUGAGCAUCACUACUUUGGACAAAGGGGCUUGCUUGGCCAUUAAAGGGAGGAUUUACAAGCCAACCUCUCAGCUGAAAGUCUGCAAUCACAUGCAAGAAAAUAUUGUUUGCCCCUACUCCCUAUUGAU
This is a long non-coding RNA of Mobula hypostoma (lesser devil ray), 252 nucleotides long. RefSeq lists it as uncharacterized. Lineage: Eukaryota; Metazoa; Chordata; Chondrichthyes; Myliobatiformes; Myliobatidae. The record is from RefSeq and is a predicted model, not a curated record. The transcript has 3 exons.